UACGGAGGGUGCAAGCGUUAUCCGGAUUCACUGGGUUUAAAGGGUGCGUAGGUGGGCUUGUAAGUCAGUGGUGAAAUCUCCGUGCUUAACAUGGAAACUGCCAUUGAUACUAUGAGUCUUGAAUUUUCUGGAGGUCAGCGGAAUAUGUCAUGUAGCGGUGAAAUGCUUAGAUAUGACAUAGAACACCGAUUGCGAAGGCAGCUGGCUACAGGGAUAUUGACACUGAGGCACGAAAGCGUGGGGAUCAAACAGG
RNAcentral lists this ribosomal RNA (253 nucleotides) under uncultured bacterium. Its description in RNAcentral is "partial 16S ribosomal RNA". It matches the Rfam family "Bacterial small subunit ribosomal RNA", at positions 524 to 776 of the family's 1533-position model. The record is from RNAcentral.